This 456-nucleotide ribosomal RNA is filed under the name uncultured bacterium. RNAcentral's name for it is "bacterial SSU rRNA". It matches the Rfam family "Bacterial small subunit ribosomal RNA", at positions 923 to 1379 of the family's 1533-position model. The record is from RNAcentral.
GAUCGUUCCGGUGGAGCAUGUGUUAUUCGAGCACGCGAAGAACCUUACCUAACUUGACAUCCUUCUGACCGGUCCUUAAUCGGACUUUUCGGUGCUUGCACUGACAGGAGUGACAGGUGGUGCAUGGUUGUCGUCAGCUCGUGUCGUGAGAUGUCGGGUUAAGUCCCGCAACGAGCGCAACCCCUAUCCUUAGUAGCCAGCAGUAAGAUGGGCACUCUAGGGAGACUGCCAGGGAUAACCUGGAGGAAGGCGGGGAUGACGUCAAAUCAUCAUGCCCCUUAUGUUUAGGGCUACACACGUGCUACAAUGGCUGCUACAAAGGGAAGCGACCUCGUGAGAGUGAGCAAACCUCAAAAAAGCAGUCCCAGUUCGGAUUGUAGUCUGCAACUCGACUACAUGAAGUUGGAAUCGCUAGUAAUCGCGAAUCAGAAUGUCGCGGUGAAUACGUUCCCGGGC